AUACGGAGGGUGCAAGCGUUACUCGGAAUCACUGGGCGUAAAGCGCGCGCAGGCGGCUAUUUAAGUUGGAUGUGAAAGCCUACGGCUCAACCGUAGAACUGCAUCCAAAACUGUCAAGCUAGAGUGUGGGAGAGGAAGAUGGAAUUAGUUGUGUAGGGGUAAAAUCCGUAGAGAUAACUAGGAAUACCAAAAGCGAAGGCAAUCUUCUGGAACACUACUGACGCUGAGGCGCGAAAGCGUGGGGAGCAAACGGGAUUAGAAACCCUAGUAGUCC
Molecule: ribosomal RNA, 274 nt
Filed under: uncultured bacterium
Lineage: Bacteria
Description: partial 16S ribosomal RNA
Rfam family: Bacterial small subunit ribosomal RNA
Source: RNAcentral